Molecule: long non-coding RNA, 1982 nt
Filed under: Carassius auratus (goldfish)
Lineage: Eukaryota; Metazoa; Chordata; Actinopteri; Cypriniformes; Cyprinidae
Description: lncRNA (ENSCARG00000047303.1)
Source: RNAcentral
AUGGAUUCAUGCAGGACUUUUUCAGAAAGAAACAAAAGAAGAGUUGGAACAGCUCACAGUGGAAAUCAAGAAGGAUGCCAACUUUGUCCGGUCCAGCCUCAAAGUGAGUUCUGCUUCGGCCUGUCAAGGAUAGUGGAGAUUGAGUUCUCAUCUAUUUUCUUCUUAGCAAUGCAACAGUAUCUACCUCCAGAUGAACAGAUGAAUCAAGCCUCAGUGGAUGCACGCAUUCAGAAAACACAGGUAUAAAAUCAUUGUCUCUUCUUAUUCAUCCAACCAUCCAGUAUGGUAAUUUUUAAUCCCAAAUUGAUCUAAUGUCCUAUUGUCUGUCUCUUUGUCUCUUUUUUUAGUACACUAACUUGUCAUGUAAGUUUGUAGAGGUCAUGACGCGAUAUAAUGAAACCCAAGUGUCAUUCAGAGAGAAAAGCAAAAGCAGGAUUCAGAGACAGUUGUUGAUCAGUAAGUCACACACGAGUAACUUCAUGCAUGCACAAGCACUCACGUACAUACUAUUCCCUUUAAACUAGCCCACUAAAGUAGACCAUUUACAGCUGACAAAAUCUCCACCCAAACAUAAAAGCAGCUGUCAGUUAAUGGAAGAUUUGACAUAUGACCUCGCGGUUCAAAUGGACUCUUUGUCAGAAAGUGAUAAGACUUUCAGUUUUAUGGAAGUCGCCAUCUUUGGCACGCAAGAGCUUGAAGAACCACCUGUUUGUUUUAAAUCAGCACUGUGGGAAUGUUUCCCGCAUUAAAACAUAACAUAAAUUUUAACUCAGGUGUCUAAAGUCAGACCAUUCUGUUUCUGCUUUAUCUGACAAACACACACACACACACACAAACACACACAUAUAUAUACACAGGUGCUGGUCAUAUAAUUAGAAUAGCAUCAAAAAGUUAAAGCUGCGGUAGGGAACUUUUGACGCUCUAGCAGUUAAUAAACAGAACUGCUUGCGUCUUGCGGAAGAACAUCGUAGCCGGAACUACUUCUCUCUGUUUAUGUCUAUGAAGAAUCACAAAGGUACUGGGUUACUCCGCCGCGGUAUCCCCGAAGCAAUCUAAAAUAGUCAGAAUAUAAACACUUAUUAUAGGUGCACCCUUAGUGAUUCAGGACAAGCUAAAAACACGGUUUGGAAAAUGGAUUCAUGGUGUACUCACCUUAUUAUGUUCAUUUUUCUACAUUUUGAACACAAACAAAGUUACGGACCGCAGCUCUUAUUGGUUGUUUUUUACCGGGAGUGCAUGACUUUCUGCAAAUGGCAAUAGGAGCACUGGGAGGAGCCAGAGGAGCUUGAUUUUUUUCACAGAUUAUCUGUCUCAUAUUCUACUGUCAGGACAUAAUGACAGGUUUAACAAAUAUGUAAAUAAUAUAUUUUUUACAAAAGUUCCCUACAGCACCUUUAAUUAAUUUCACUAAUUCUAAUCAGAAAGUGAAACCUGUAUAUUAAAUUAAUUCAUUACACACAGACUGAUAUAUUUUAAAUGUUUAUUUAUUUUAAUUUUGAUGUUUGUAACUGACAACUAAGGAAAAGUCCCAAGUUCAGUAUUUCAGAAAAUUAGAAUAUUGUGAAAAGGUUCAAUAUUGAAGACAUCUGGUACCACACUCUAAUCAGCUGAUUAACUCAAAACACCUGCACAGCCUUUAAAUAGUCUCUCAGUCUAGUUCUGUAGGCUACACAAUCAUGGGGAAGACUGCUGACUUGACAGUUGUCCAACAGACGACCACUGACACCUUGCACAUGGUGUCAAUUUUUUUCACACUUUUUUGUUAUGUUUAUAAUUCCAUAUAUAAUUCCACAUGUGUUAAUUCAUAGUUUUGAUGCCUUCAGUGUGAAUCUACAAUUUUCACAGUCAUGAAAAUAAAGAAAACUCUUUAUUUGAAGUUGUGUCCAAACUUUUGGUCUGUACUAUAUAUAAAUAUAUAUAUAUAUAUAUAUAUAUAUAUAUAUAUAUAUAUAUAUAUAUAUAUAUAUAUAUAUAUAUAUAUA